This 253-nucleotide ribosomal RNA is filed under the name uncultured bacterium. RNAcentral describes it as "partial small subunit ribosomal RNA". It matches the Rfam family "Bacterial small subunit ribosomal RNA", at positions 26 to 284 of the family's 1533-position model. The record is from RNAcentral.
AGGACGAACGCUGGCGGCGUGCUUAACACAUGCAAGUCGAGCGGAAAGGCCCUUCGGGGUACUCGAGCGGCGAACGGGUGAGUAACACGUGAGCAACCUGCCCUUAGCUUCGGGAUAGCUCCGGGAAACCGGAAUUAAUACCGAAUAUGACUUUGGCUGACAUCAGCAGAAGUGGAAAGUUUUUCGGCUAGGGAUGGACUCGCGGCCUAUCAGCUAGUUGGUGAGGUAACGGCCCACCAAGGCGACGACGGGU